GUGAGGAAUAUUGCGCAAUGGGGGAAACCCUGACGCAGCGACGCCGCGUGGGUGAAGAAGGCCUUCGGGUCGUAAAGCCCUGUCUAGAGGGAAGAAAUUUUCAAUGGAAUAAUACCUGUUGAGAUUGACGGUACCUCUGGAGGAAGCACCGGCUAACUCCGUGCCAGCAGCCGCGGUAAUACGGAGGGUGCGAGCGUUGUUCGGAAUUACUGGGCGUAAAGCGGGUGUAGGCGGUUUGUUAAGUCAGAUGUGAAAGCCCACGGCUCAACCGUGGAAGUGCAUCUGAAACUGGCAGACUUGAGUACCGGAGAGGGAAGUGGAAUUCCUGGUGUAGGGGUGAAAUCCGUAGAUAUCAGGAGGAACACCGGUGGCGAAGGCGACUUCCUGGACGGAUACUGACGCUGAGAUCCGAAAGCGUGGGGAGCAAACAGGAUUAGAAACCCUAGUAGUCC
Molecule: ribosomal RNA, 452 nt
Filed under: uncultured bacterium
Lineage: Bacteria
Description: bacterial SSU rRNA
Rfam family: Bacterial small subunit ribosomal RNA
Source: RNAcentral